Molecule: non-coding RNA, 117 nt
Filed under: Pan paniscus (pygmy chimpanzee)
Lineage: Eukaryota; Metazoa; Chordata; Mammalia; Primates; Hominidae
Also listed under: 1 other name
Source: Rfam by way of RNAcentral
GCCGGGUGUGGUGGCUCACACCUGUAAUCCCAGCACUUUGGGAGGCCGAGGCAAGCAGAUCACCUGAGGUCAGGAGUUCAAAACCAGCCUGACCAACAUGGUGAAACCUUGUCUCUA